UGGUGGAGUGAUUUGUCUGCUUAAUUGCGAUAACGAACGAGACCUUAACCUGCUAAAUAGCCCGGCCCGCUUUGGCGGGUCGCCGGCUUCUUAGAGGGACUAUCGGCUCAAGCCGAUGGAAGUUUGAGGCAAUAACA
This 137-nucleotide ribosomal RNA is filed under the name uncultured eukaryote. Its description in RNAcentral is "partial 18S ribosomal RNA". It matches the Rfam family "Eukaryotic small subunit ribosomal RNA", at positions 1299 to 1458 of the family's 1831-position model. The record is from RNAcentral.